UGAAAGCUCUGGGGGUGUCACCCAGUCCCACAAGCCUGCAUCCCCUGCAGUGGAGAUGGGCUCAGCUCCUGGACGUGCCACAGACAGAAAGCAUAACAUACACUCGCCAGGAAGAGCCUCUGCCUGAGGAUGAGUUCCUGGUGGUGCUGCGCUGUGUGGGUGAGCCCCUCCCUGUCCCUGCCUCCACCCUCAGACCAGCGGCAGGCCUGGGACAGAUGCUGACAGGACUCAGGUGUCUGACUCCUGCUAAUCAUUCCAUUUAAAAUUCCAACUUAAAAAUUAAACCUAAAAAAGAUUGUA
RNAcentral lists this long non-coding RNA (300 nucleotides) under Homo sapiens (human). Its description in RNAcentral is "HSALNT0020666". The record is from RNAcentral. Lineage: Eukaryota; Metazoa; Chordata; Mammalia; Primates; Hominidae.